Long non-coding RNA from Molossus molossus (Pallas's mastiff bat), 829 nucleotides. RefSeq lists it as uncharacterized. The record is from RefSeq and is a predicted model, not a curated record. Lineage: Eukaryota; Metazoa; Chordata; Mammalia; Chiroptera; Molossidae. The transcript is spliced from 3 exons.
CUAUCUUCUGGCUCCUGAGACGUCUCCGCAAGCCCAGUGGGUUCCUGUCUCAAGGGCUACGUGUGGGCUGUUCCCUCGCUCCCCGACCCGGAUCUCCACGUGGUGGCCCUGCAUCCUCCUGAAUCUACCAAAUCAGUGGUUGUUCCACGUGAAUAAGAACUUGGUUUCCUUCACUCUGGACUUUUCCCAGAGCCUGACACGUGGGGGCGGUUCUGUGACGGGACACCCAACAGCAGUCGAGAGGGCUGGAGUGCGUGCGAGAUGAACUGGGAAGGAAAGCUGUGGCUUACUGAAUGCUUGCAACAAAUCAGAAGUAAGACUGUCCGCAGAAAAGGCGCUGGCUUCACGGAUCCUGGCAGGAGGGCAGCCAGGGAGCUGGGGUUUGUCCAGCCUGCAGCCCUGGCACCAUUCCCGUGGUGGCAUGGUUGGUGUGGAGUCCACAGGCGGGCAGUUGUCCUCUGAGGAUAUGGCUUCCCACAGGGUUGUUCCACGUGAAUAAGAAGGUGACCCUGGGGGAAAAUGUGUUAACCAGGCCCCUGUGGCAAUUACAAGCUUGAUGCAAACGCAUAAAUAGGCACUUAAUCAGGAAAUCUCUUGUGAAUUGAGUUAGAGUGAGUCAGUCGCUCAAGCCUUGGCAGCUCUGAUACUCAAGAAAUGAAGGUUCUAAACCAGCCAGGUUGCACUGCGGACCUGUCUACCUGACCUUCCUCUGUGCCAAGGCUUCUUAAAGUUUGGCACCCAGAGCUGCAGCAUCAGCAUCACCUGAGAACUUGUCGGAACACAAAUUCUCCAGCCUUGUCCUCAAUUUACUGAAUGGGAAACUCUGUGG